Haliotis rufescens (red abalone) is the source of this 608-nucleotide long non-coding RNA. RefSeq lists it as uncharacterized. The record is from RefSeq and is a predicted model, not a curated record. NCBI's taxonomy places the organism in Eukaryota, Metazoa, Mollusca, Gastropoda, Lepetellida, Haliotidae. The transcript is spliced from 2 exons.
AAUGGCAAUGGCAACGGCAACGGUAAAGACAACGGUAACGGCAAUGGCAACGGUAACGGCAAAGGCAACGGUAAAGACAACGGCAAUGGCAACGGAAAUGGCAACGGCAACGGCAAUGGCAACGGCAACGGUUACGACAACGGUAACGGGAAUGGUAACGGGAAUGGCAACGGUAAAGACAACGGUAACGGCAAUGGCAAUGGCAACGGCAACGGUUACGACAACGGUAACGGCAAUGGGAACGGUAAAGACAACGGUAACGGCAAUGGCAAUGGCAAUGGUAACGGCAAUGGCAAUGGCAACGGUAACGGCAACGGCAACGGUUACGACAACGGUAACGGCAAUGGCAACGGUAAAGACAACGGUAACGGCAAUGGCAACGGUUACGACAACGGUAACGGCAAUGGUAAUGGGAAUGGCAAUGACAACGGUAACGGCAAUGGCAACGGCAACGGUAACGGUAACGGCAAUGGCAAUGGCGGCGGGUAACUGAGGUCGAACAGAUGCUCUUCCAGCGCAUCUGUCUAAAUGUGAAGCAGUUUCCCAGCGAGCGUAAUCAUGAAUUAAUGUCCUGCAAUCUUGAAUAAAUACUUUUCCCUAUCUUUCAA